GUGUAUGAAUAUUAUGCGAACCAGGAGGCACCCCUCUACACUGAUAGCGGAAGUGCGCUCGCAUCAACAGGAAUUUCCCAUGAAGCGUAAGUCUACCACUGCAGAGGAUCACCACGUCAAUAUGGCCACACUAUCUCGCCAGCUUGGGGCAAAUUCUUGAGCCUAGGGUG
Molecule: long non-coding RNA, 170 nt
Organism: Dermacentor andersoni
Lineage: Eukaryota; Metazoa; Arthropoda; Arachnida; Ixodida; Ixodidae
Source: RefSeq, a predicted model, not a curated record